RNA transcript from Mangifera indica (mango), 831 nucleotides. It is a transcript of the gene named ubiquitin-fold modifier 1, with no coding region annotated. The transcript is spliced from 5 exons. The record is from RefSeq and is a predicted model, not a curated record. NCBI's taxonomy places the organism in Eukaryota, Viridiplantae, Streptophyta, Magnoliopsida, Sapindales, Anacardiaceae.
UUUUAAGUCCGCUAAAACCUGGAAAACACACAAAUUUCAUCAAUAUCUCCCUCCAUAGCUGAAUGAUGACUUGAAAUUAAACAAAAUUAAUAAUAAUGGCCAGCGGUGGGAAAGUUUCGUUCAAGGUUACGUUGACCUCCGAUCCGAAGCUCCCAUUUAAAGUGUUUAGUGUUCCUGAAGCUGCUCCCUUCACCGCCGUUUUGAAAUUUGCAGCGGAGGAAUUCAAGGUCCCUCCACAAACUAGCGCUAUUAUCACAAACGAUGGUGUAGGAAUCAAUCCUCAGCAGAGUGCAGCUGCACUAUAUGGAAUUAUCAUAUGCAAUCUUCACCUCCCUCAAGACUUGACAAAUGGACAGGCCAGGCAGGUAUAGACCGGGUUGAAAUGGGUAUGGGUAAAGCUGAUAUAAACAUGUGAUGGGGACCCAGCCCUUGCAGAGUGCUUUCUAAACUCCUGGAGAACACUGGCAACAAGAACUUCAAAGUCAUCAGAGAGCACUGUCCUCCCUUGCUUCAAGUCAUCGAAAUCUUUCCCUCACACAAUAAUGACCCUUUUCGAAGCAAAGGCUUCUUCUUGAAAUUCUUUGACUCUCGCCAUUCUGCUUAUGUUUCCAUCUCUCCUCAAGAUGUUGACCUCAUUUUUUUUUUUCAAUUGUGCAUGCCCCUGGGCGAAACAGUUCCACCCAUACAAAACAGUAAUUAUGGGUACAGGUCCAAAAACUUGUAACUUAUGCCUUUUUUGGGUGGGUACCUGAGGGCAGAAACCCGUUUUCCCAGGUCUACCUCCCACUCACCCCUGCCCCUCUUAAAUGAUAAAUCUUUAAGAAUCUAAAU